RNAcentral lists this ribosomal RNA (492 nucleotides) under uncultured bacterium. Its description in RNAcentral is "partial 16S ribosomal RNA". It matches the Rfam family "Bacterial small subunit ribosomal RNA", at positions 29 to 507 of the family's 1533-position model. The record is from RNAcentral.
AGUGAACGCUGGCGGUAGGCCUAACACAUGCAAGUCGAACGGCAGCACAGUAAGAGCUUGCUCUUACGGGUGGGGAGUGGCGGACGGGUGAGGAAUACAUCGGAAUCUACUUUUUCGUGGGGGAUAACGUAGGGAAACUUACGCUAAUACCGCAUACGACCUACGGGUGAAAGCAGGGGAUCUUCGGACCUUGCGCGAUUGAAUGAGCCGAUGUCGGAUUAGCUAGUUGGCGGGGUAAAGGCCCACCAAGGCGACGAUCCGAAGCUGGUCUGAGAGGAUGAUCAGCCACACUGGAACUGAGACCCGGUCCAGACUCCUACGGGAGGCAGCAGUGGGGAAUAUUGGACAAUGGGCGCAAGCCUGAUCCAGCCAUACCGCGUGGGUGAAGAAGGCCUUCGGGUUGUAAAGCCCUUUUGUUGGGAAAGAAAAGCAGCAGGUUAAUACCCCGCUGUUCUGACGGUACCCAAAGAAUAAGCACCGGCUAACUUCGUG